CAUGUCCUUUUGAUUUAUAAUUUAAGGUCUGAUCUGCUCAAUGAUUAAUUAAAUAGCCGCAGUAUUUUGACUGUGCAAAGGUAGCAUAAUAAUUAGUUUUUUGAUUAAAAGCUUGAAUGAAUGAUUGGACGAGAAAAUUACUGUCUCUUUUUAAUAUAUUUUUGAACUUUAUUUUUAAGUUAAAAAGCUUAAAUUUAAAUAAAAGACGAGAAGACCCUAUAGAGUUUGAUAGUUAAGUUUUAUUUGUUUUAAGAAAAAGAUUUGAAAUUUAAAUAUUUAAUUGGGGUGAUUUGGAGAUUAAAAUAAUUCUUUAAAAUUAAAAUUGAUGAUUAUUAAAAUUUUUAUCUAAAUUUUUUAAAUUUAAUAUAAAUUACCUUAGGGAUAACAGCGUUAUUUUUCUUUAGAGUUCUUAUUAAAAGAAAAUUUUGCGACCUCGAUGUUGGAUUAAAAUAAAUUUUUGGUGCAAAAGCUUAAAAAUUGGGUCUGUUCGACCUUUAAUAUUUUACAUGAUCUGAGUUUAAACCGGUGUGAGCCAGGUUGGAUUCUAUCUUUAAUUUUAUUAUAUAUUUUAGUACGAAAGGACCAAAUAUGUAUUAUAUUUAAUUG
This 606-nucleotide ribosomal RNA is filed under the name Xylobanellus sp. UPOL A00611. RNAcentral describes it as "partial 16S ribosomal RNA". The stretch from base 381 to 539 matches the Rfam family "Bacterial large subunit ribosomal RNA", at positions 2473 to 2632 of the family's 2925-position model. Lineage: Eukaryota; Metazoa; Arthropoda; Insecta; Coleoptera; Lycidae. The record is from RNAcentral.